GAAAUUAUUAUCUCAAUUUAAAAAUGUAUAAUGAGAAUUAUGAAUAACUAGCACACUUUCAUAAAUACUAGAGAUUAAAAGCAUGUCAUUUCUAAUUAUUAUCAAACUCUACAACAUUGCCUUAAUAGUUAUUAAACUGGCUUUAAAUUCCACAACGUGACCCAUUCACUGACAGAAAAGUAAUUUUUUUCCUCAAUGAAGUUGUCAGAAGGCCAAUUUUUUCAGGUAUUCACUAUCGUGCUUCUUUUUUUUAUUAUUGUUAAGUUCAUUCAUAUCAAUUAGGAUGAUUGUUCUAUCAUACCAUGUAGCCCAGCAGAAAGAUGAAGUGAAAUAUGUAGUUAUCUUAUGUAUGUGACCUUCAAACAAUUUUUAAUAGUGUCUAGUUAGCAUAUGAUCUUUCAUGUCUAACAGCAUUUUUCAGUAAUGUAUAAUUCAGUGAGCGUCCAUCAAGGAUUAAAUUUGUCAAGCAAGGUUUACAGCAAAAAGUACUGCUAGAAACCAAAAGGCCAAUGUAUAAUUCAGUGAGCGUCCAUCAAGGAUUAAAUUUGUCAAGCAAGGUUUACAGCAAAAAUUACUGCUAGAAACCAAAAGGCCUCAUGGAAAACACAUUCAAGUUGCAUAAGAUAACGGCGCGAAAGGAAGACAAAACAAUGAUAUCAAAGGAGCAAAGACAAAAUAGUUUUGACAUGGCAUGGAUGAAGCUCCAAAAGGCAACAGAGGCCAUCUAAACAAAACCGGAUUCCAGUAUAUCCAAUACGUGAAGGGAUAGUAUAAUUUUUAACACAGCAGUCAUA
RNAcentral lists this long non-coding RNA (794 nucleotides) under Spirodela polyrhiza (greater duckweed). RNAcentral's name for it is "long non-coding RNA (SPOL_LNC000740)". The record is from RNAcentral. Lineage: Eukaryota; Viridiplantae; Streptophyta; Magnoliopsida; Alismatales; Araceae.